RNAcentral lists this long non-coding RNA (254 nucleotides) under Setaria italica (foxtail millet). Its description in RNAcentral is "long non-coding RNA (SITA_LNC001187)". Lineage: Eukaryota; Viridiplantae; Streptophyta; Magnoliopsida; Poales; Poaceae. The record is from RNAcentral.
ACUCCGACUAGGGACAACUUUUAGAAUAACCAUACAAGUAAAGAGUUCCACAUGCAAUUCACAUAAUUGCAGAUCAAUUCAAGUAGGCUUUAAUGGAUAUUCAAUGAACACAAUAUAAAAAUCAUGGAUACAAUCAGAUAUCAUCAUCUCUAUGAUUGCCUCUAGGGCAUACCUCCAAGACCCAGAAGAUGGUUUUACUGGUUAUCUUCAGCUGAAUGGUGGUAUAAUACUUCAUAUCAUAUCUCUCUCAACAU